Molecule: ribosomal RNA, 497 nt
Filed under: uncultured bacterium
Lineage: Bacteria
Description: partial 16S ribosomal RNA
Rfam family: Bacterial small subunit ribosomal RNA
Source: RNAcentral
GAUGAACGCUGGCGGCGUGCCUAAUACAUGCAAGUCGAGCGAACAGACGAGGAGCUUGCUCCUCUGACGUUAGCGGCGGACGGGUGAGUAACACGUGGAUAACCUACCUAUAAGACUGGGAUAACUUCGGGAAACCGGAGCUAAUACCGGAUAAUAUAUUGAACCGCAUGGUUCAAUAGUGAAAGACGGUUUUGCUGUCACUUAUAGAUGGAUCCGCGCCGCAUUAGCUAGUUGGUAAGGUAACGGCUUACCAAGGCAAUGAUGCGUAGCCGACCUGAGAGGGUGAUCGGCCACACUGGAACUGAGACACGGUCCAGACUCCUACGGGAGGCAGCAGUAGGGAAUCUUCCACAAUGGGCGAAAGCCUGACGGAGCAACGCCGCGUGAGUGAUGAAGGUCUUCGGAUCGUAAAACUCUGUUAUUAGGGAAGAACAAAUGUGUAAGUAACUAUGCACGUCUUGACGGUACCUAAUCAGAAAGCCACGGCUAACUACGUG